UUGGUUUAAAUAAUUGUAGGUCUACACUUUGAAAAUUGAACUUACACAAAAUGGUGGGAUACAUUGAUUUAAUCCAA
MicroRNA precursor from Medicago truncatula (barrel medic), 77 nucleotides. It matches the Rfam family "MIR5269 microRNA precursor family". The record is from Rfam. NCBI's taxonomy places the organism in Eukaryota, Viridiplantae, Streptophyta, Magnoliopsida, Fabales, Fabaceae.